Molecule: long non-coding RNA, 296 nt
Filed under: Gossypium barbadense (sea-island cotton)
Lineage: Eukaryota; Viridiplantae; Streptophyta; Magnoliopsida; Malvales; Malvaceae
Description: long non-coding RNA (GBAR_LNC018568)
Source: RNAcentral
CAGCCUCAGAAGUGAAGAGAUGUACCGACCGUUGUAGGGCAGUUGGGGACCUCUCCGCCAUUAUUGAUGAAUUUAUUUUUCUGUUCCCAAAAAUUCUUCAAUCUACAAUAUAAAUAAAUAUGACUGUCUUCCUCAUUUAGGCUAAGCUAUGAAUCUUAUGGUAAAAUAAUUAAUAAAGGUGCUAUAUUUUCCCUCAUCCAACCAUAUAUAAGAAAAAACUUGAAAUUCCUUGGGGUGUUGGUAUGUUUGAGUAUUCACUUCAAAUCCGCGAUUCUUCCAUGAUUACUAAAAAAAGG